RNAcentral lists this ribosomal RNA (500 nucleotides) under uncultured microorganism. RNAcentral describes it as "bacterial SSU rRNA". It matches the Rfam family "Archaeal small subunit ribosomal RNA", at positions 234 to 734 of the family's 1478-position model. The record is from RNAcentral.
AGUGGGUGUAACGUACCUACUAGCCUACGACGGGUACGGGUUGUGAGAGCAAGAGCCCGGAGAUGGAUUCUGAGACAUGAAUCCAGGCCCUACGGGGUGCAGCAGGCGCGAAAACUUUACAAUGCGGGCAACCGCGAUAAGGGGACCUCGAGUGCUGGGUUACAAACCUGGCUGUUGGGCUGCCUAAAAAGCAGUCUAUAGCAAGGGCCGGGCAAGACCGGUGCCAGCCGCCGCGGUAACACCGGCGGCUCGAGUGGUAACCGCUAUUAUUGGGUCUAAAGGGUCUGUAGCCGGCCGACUAAGUCUCUUGGGAAAUCUGGCAUCUCGAGUGUCAGGCUGCCAGGGGAUACUGGUCGGCUUGGGACCGGGAGAGGUGAGAGGUACCUCGGGGGUAGGGGUGAAAUCUUGUAAUCCUCGAGGGACCACCAGUGGCGAAGGCGUCUCACCAGAACGGAUCCGACGGCAAGGGACGAAAGCUAGGGGCACGAACCGGAUUAGAU